This 299-nucleotide unclassified non-coding RNA is filed under the name plant metagenome. RNAcentral's name for it is "partial contains small subunit ribosomal RNA, internal transcribed spacer 1, and 5.8S ribosomal RNA". The record is from RNAcentral.
UCUCCGUAGGUGAACCUGCGGAAGGAUCAUUAUCGAAUUUCGAGGGGAAGGAAGAUGAGGAGUGGAGACUGUCGCUGGCUUUCCCGCCUGGGAAGCAUGUGCACGCCUUGCUUUUCGUUGACCUUUCUCUUACUCUCACACCUGUGAACCCAUUGUAGGUCCUCGAAAGAGGAUCUAUGUUUUUAUCAUCACACGCAUCGUAUGUCCAUAGAGUGUAACAUGAUCGUCGAUCGACCUCGCGGUCGGGUGGCGGUCUAAAUAAAUAAAUAUAACUUUCAGCAACGGAUCUCUUGGCUCUC